CUUCCGCAAUGGACGCAAGUCUGACGGAGCAACGCCGCGUGAGUGAUGAAGGUUUNCGNNUCGUANANCUCUGUUGUUAGGGANNNNNAAGUACCGUUCACAUAGGUCGGUACCUUGACGGUACCUAACCAGAAAGCCACGGCUAACUACGUGCCAGCAGCCGCGGUAAUACGUAGGUGGCAAGCGUUAUCCGGAAUUAUUGGGCGUAAAGCGCGCGCAGGCGGUUUCUUAAGUCUGAUGUGAAAGCCCACGGCUCAACCGUGGAGGGUCAUUGGAAACUGGGGAACUUGAGUGCAGAAGAGGAGAGUGGAAUUCCAUGUGUAGCGGUGAAAUGCGUAGAGAUAUGGAGGAACACCAGUGGCGAAGGCGACUCUCUGGUCUGCAACUGACGCUGAGGCGCGAAAGCGUGGGGAGCAAACA
This 420-nucleotide ribosomal RNA is filed under the name uncultured bacterium. RNAcentral describes it as "partial 16S ribosomal RNA". It matches the Rfam family "Bacterial small subunit ribosomal RNA", at positions 363 to 774 of the family's 1533-position model. The record is from RNAcentral.